RNAcentral lists this ribosomal RNA (801 nucleotides) under marine metagenome. Its description in RNAcentral is "bacterial SSU rRNA". It matches the Rfam family "Archaeal small subunit ribosomal RNA", at positions 392 to 1196 of the family's 1478-position model. The record is from RNAcentral.
GGUAAGACCGAUGCUUUUCUUGACUCUUCAAAGGUCUUGGAAUAAGGGGUGGGUAAGGACGGUGCCAGCCGCCGCGGUAAUACCGGCGCCUCAAGUGGUAGUCGCUUUUAUUGGGCCUAAAACGUCCGUAGCCGGUUUGGUACAUUCGUGGGUAAAUCAAGGCGCUCAACGUCUUGAAUUCUGCGAGCACGGCCAGACUUGGGACCGGGAGAGGUGUGGGGUACGCUCAGGGUAGGGGUGAAAUCCUGUCAUCCUGAGCGGACCAUCUGUUGCGAAGGCGCCACACUAGAACGGAUCCGACGGUCAGGGACGAAGCCUAGGGGCACGAACCGGAUUAGAUACCCGGGUAGUCCUAGGUGUAAACGCUGUGGACUUGAUGUUGGGAGUGCUCCGAGCACCCUCAGUGUCGAAGCGAAGGUGAUAAGUCCACUGCCUGGGGAGUACGGUCGCAAGGCUGAAACUUAAAGGAAUUGGCGGGGGAGCACUGCAACCUGAGGAUUGUGCGGUUUAAUUGGAUUCAACGCCGGAAAACUCACCAUAGCCGACGGACAUAUGAAGGCCAGCGUAAUGAGCUUGCUGGAUUGUUCGAGAGGUAGUGCAUGGCCGUCGUCAGUUCGUACCGCAAGGCGUUCUGUUAAGUCAGAUAACGAACGAGACCCUCAUCCCUAUUUGCCAAGAUCUGUCCGCAGAUCACGGGACUAUAGGGAGACCGCUGGCGCGAAGUCAGAGGAAGGCGAGGGCAACGGUAGGUCAGUAUGCUCCGAAUGCUAUGGGCUACACGCGCAAUACAAAGGACGGGAC